This 9307-nucleotide long non-coding RNA is filed under the name Nicotiana tabacum (common tobacco). RNAcentral's name for it is "long non-coding RNA (NTAB_LNC013766)". Lineage: Eukaryota; Viridiplantae; Streptophyta; Magnoliopsida; Solanales; Solanaceae. The record is from RNAcentral.
AUCCAAACAACCCCCUACAUCUAAGAACCCUAGAUUCCCUAAUUUAUAAAAUGCUCUCAAAUCUUCCUCUCUACCCCGCCGUCUUUCGUCGCCCGUAAAUCGGCAUCUGGCAGGGACUACCACCAAAUGACCCCAAAUUUUCACCAAAUACUCCUCACCACCUCCUCAACCCUAAUCCAGCAUCAUACUCCCUAAAACCCCUCUCAACCUCGCCGAUUAGAAGAUCUAGGAAUAUAUUUUGGCCCAUUUUCCUAAUUACCAUCAACCCAGUGUCAUCUUUAUCUAACUCUUACAACAAAUGAUAUGUCUUUGAGAGACCGUUCAUUUGGGGUCAUUAGUUCACUUCAAUUCUGGUGGCCAAUUCCCCCCAAAACUUUCACCUUUCAUUUUUAAUUGGCGUGCUAAAGUUAUUGUUAUAUGUAGCACUGUCCGAAAUGAAGAAAUCACGGCCAGUACUCGUGUAGCAAUAAUCUUUUCACGUCGGAGUUCAUUUUUGUCAUCUUGAUUCAAUUAGAACAGGUAUAUCUUUCUCUUACUAUUCUUAAUUGUUUAAUUAUGUGUUUAACUUUUAUUGGUCUGAAUUCGUUUUAAUUAAGUUAAGUUUAGUUGUACAAACUUAUGCUCUAAUUGCAACUUGUCACAACCCCAAUAUCCCACCUUAAGGUGUCGUGAUGGCACCUAGUCUCUAAGACUAGUAAGCCUAACAUACAUGAAAAAAUAACAAAAAUAAUAAUAGAAACUAUACAUCCCUAAUACAUCAAUAUCAAUAAUAAGAGUAUGCAACAAAAAUCAAGGACAGAAGGUGACUUCGAGACAUCCGAACGCCGGCAGAUAUACCUUGAAGUCUCCAAUCUGGAAGUUCUACUCACUGGUGCCUAGCUUGGUAUGAGGCACUUGAAUAUUCACAAAAAGAUGUGCGGAAGCGUAGUAUGAGUACACCACAAUAUACCCAGCAAGUAUCAAGCCUAACAUCGGUAAGCAGUGAUGAGGUCAGGUCAAAACACCUACUAGGAUAAGAAAAAGAAAUUGAACAAGUAUAAUAUAGUCUAAGAAUGUAAACAAGGAAAAUGAGGCAAUAAGGAAAUACAACAAGAUUAACUGUGUCACGAUCCAAACCGAUGGGCCGCAUGUCUACAAGCCUUUAAGAGUACAUAAAUGUCAUAAAUGUCAGGAUAGAGUCCCGCUAUACCAAACAAUACAUGUCUAAAUCAUACCAAUCAAACAUGCAACUCUGAAGCGAAUGGAGAGCACCAACAUCCUCCGCUGAGCUGAUAGCCUACUUGGGGGUCUCUCGACCUAUCUAUCUGGACCUGCGGGCAUGAAACGCAGCAUCCCCAGGCAAAAAGGGACGUUAGCACGAAUAACGUAUUGAGUAUGUAAGGCACAUAAAUAAGUACAUAACAGACGUGGAGGAAAUAUAGAAUAAAUGACUCCACAUGUAAGUCUGAAUAACUUUGUAAAUCAUGAAACAAUUAUAGUAUCAUGCAUAUGCAUAUGAAUGUCAUGUCGUGCAUAGGUACAUAUUUCAUAACAUCACCAGCCUCUGAGAGCAUCUCAUCAUAUCAUCUUGGCCACUGUGUGAAAAAUCAUCAACGUAUACCAGUUGAUCAGGUGGUGGUGCGUAUGUAACGCCAUAACCUUUCUCAUAACCCAUAUACAUAUAUAUACAUACAUAUAUACACAUAUAUAAUGCCAUCUGGUCAUGGGUCAACGUACAUGAAUGCAAUGCAUGAAAAUUACAUUAACAAAAUCUUUCGGAAUGUCAUAAGACCAAUUUGUCGUUGAGUAAUACCAUGAAAUAAACCUUAUCAAUUUACGUAUUUUCUGAGACCCAUGAACAGAUGAAAGAAUAAUAGGACACAUGGAGAAUCAAGUACAUAGGCACUUCUAACACUUCAUGAAUAGAGUCAUUUAUGAAAGUUGGUCAUUUUCUCGUUUCGUUCAUAUCGUAUAGAUCGUGCCAAAAGAAAGAAAGGAUAGCCUUAACAUACCUGAGCCUAUUCUCUUGACAAUCCUUCUAAUAUAUGUUGAUUGCGACAAAACGCAUAACGGCGGAUCGAAGUAGGGGAAAAUUCGUAUGGUAUUCUUGAGAAAGAUUGCACCGUGAUCUCUUAGAAUCGGAUUUACGCUAUUGUAGCAAUCCAUCCGUUAGCAAGCCUAGAUCUCUUGUAAGAGUUCAUAAGUAUUAUUUUGAAUUACAUGCUUUAGUUGCUGCCCAUAAUUUCCUCUUAAAUGACUAGCUCUUGUUUGAUGUGUGCAUGGAAUGAUGCAGCAAAUGGAGGUUUAAAUAAUCUUGUAAGUUUGUAAUUUGAGUAUAUCCAAAUACAAAAAUGGAAUGAAAUUAGGAACAAAUAUCACCCACUCACUUGGUAUAUGGAAACACUUUUUCGUAUGAACAACACCAGUAUGUAACAAUCUCUCAUAUUUUAAAGAUUUGUGGCUCCCACUUUUGGGAUGACUUAGUCACAAAUAUAUCUUAAAAUAUGACACCUUGCAAUUCUUUUUAAGAGUCAUUGAUUUGAAUUGUGGGCUGCCACAUUACAAUAUUAUCCAAAUAUAUCCCCAAUAAAUAGGUAAUGUCUUGUUACCCCGUAAAAUUGAGAAUUAUUUUGACUUACUUAAAAUAUUACUCACUUUUCACAUACCUUAUACACCUUACUAUUAUGAUCAUGUGGUACCUUGUAUGGUACUAGUCCAUAAAUACCGAGUAUUUUAGCUUGAGCUAGAUUUUAUCCCAAUAUGCCAAACUUGGACGAAAAUUCGUUUUCUUUGACUUGCUUCCCUUUCACCUUUACGAAUUUACUUAUUACUUAUUUGAAAUGGCAUAAUCUUUAUAAUCUCCAAAUAAUCUUUUCCAUGGACUAAUGUCAGUUACCUUAUGACAAAUUCAACGUACAACACUAUAGGGUGCAACAUCGUUGUAAUGUAGUACUGUGGGAUGUGACAUCUCACUUUCGGGUUCUCAUUAGUUUAUUUAUGGUGUGUUUUCAUGUACAAAAAUAUGGGGUGUAACAUCAUUCCCCUUUUGGAACAUUCAUCCUUGAAUGUUGAAUGAUGCGCUUAUUGUUAUCAUAUCCCAAAGCUCUUGCGAAUACUUUAGUAGUCCUUUUGUCACCUAGGCAACUAUUCUGUGAAUAAGUCCAAAGGCCAGGACAUUCCCUCCUUUAGGCCUCUUUCCCACGCCAUGACAUGUGAUCGAAUUCCUUCCACUCUCGUAACUGUUGCUGCCUUCCAUUAUGUUGCUUAUACGAUAUGAACCUUGUAAGUAUGCCUAUGCGACUCUCCUCUCCUUUUUCCUCCAGAUUUUAGCCAAUCCUGAAGUUCUUCGCUUGGUAUUUGUCGAACUUACGAAUAUUGCUAUAUCUUAUUUUAUAGACCUGGUUAUCCAUUCGUAUGGCUUUACUACACCUACAUAGGUCAUACUAUACCAUAAUUUUUACCUCGAUUUCUCAUUAUUGAAGUCUGCUACCAAAUCUCAGAUUACUUUCAUUGCUUAUCUCAUACAUAUAAAUCUAUAUCCUCUAAUGCCUCCAUAUUACUGUUCAUCUUUAAUAAUGACGGCAUAAUCUCCUCUCAUACUUUAUAACUUUUAACCAUCCAUUGUCGAUUCACCUCAAUUUCGAUCCAUAAUCUACCCCUAAUAACUCAACCUUUUCUGUAAUAUUGCUACUAGGAAUCACAUUUUAUCGGGGAACAUCUGAAAUGGUUAGAAUGAUCCACCAGAGGAGAUACCCUGCUUUCAUAACCAUAUCUCAUGGCAUCCCAAUGUGAUUCAUCGUGCGUGGGUAUUUUAAUCCUGUCCAAUUCAUGAGAUCCCUUUCUUUUAUUCGUCAGAUCAUUACUCAAUCUAAGGCCUAAACAUCAUUUUUUUUGUCUAUAAUAACUACACCCUCAUUUUAUUAACAGGGCAGCAUUCCAUCUCUUCUGAAUGUUAUUAGUCUUAGACUCCUUUGAGUUCAUUCAGGUUAUACUGAACUUUCUAUAACUUAGAGAAAGCAAUAGCUUUCUUGUUUUCAUGGCUCUUAAUCCCGAUGACUUAUCCGUUCUCGUCACCAUCUUACUCGCCCUUUCUCGUUCUUACUCCUGUCAUAAAACUUUGUCGCUUUACUAUAUUUUAGCAUGGGACCCAUACAUAUCUAUUUAUAUUAUUCACAUCUUUCCUUCAACUUGCUUGCACCAUAGAUUUCCUUAUGUUGUUCUGGAACAUCAAGUAAGACAUCACAUUGUCUCUAACUAUUCUUUACUCUCACAAUCAAGCUUUUCGAUACCUAGACCAUAGGUUAGAAGAUAUGCUAUUGACGUUGUUGCUAUCAUUCCUGGAUAUUCCCCGCGCUUCUAGCCUUCUAUCCCAAGUAUGGAAUAUUCUCAACCUUUUGCUUCUGAGUAUCUCGUUCAUUAUUCACAUUUACCUUACUUUCCUUAAAGCCUCACAUCACAUCUUAUAUCUCUUUCAUGACCUUCCCUCCACAUAGAUAUAAUGCACAUCCACGUCUUGAACUUCUAUUAUAAUACAUGCACCUUUUUACAAAAUCUCAUGAGAGCUUCAUACUAACCUCUUAUGAGGUUGAGACACCUCUAAGUGGCUUUAUCGUAGUGCCGUUAUAGAAUAUAGCUACUGCAUUAUCUCUCUCGUACCUUUGAUAGUAAGGGUGAUUCUGCAAUGUUUUCAAUCACGAUUUCUAUAAUUUUCAGGGUCCAAUAAUCAGAUUCCUGAUUUACUUCGUUGAUGUAUAUCUUUAGUUUCCUCUUUCUUAUCAGCCUUUAUGUAGGCUUAAGCCACCUACCGAUAUGAGGUUCGUGGUAUUAGUCAUUACUUUAGCCCUCCAUGGACGUUAUGGAAUAUCCAUGAUACAAUCUUUUAAUAAUUCAUUCCUUUAUCUAUGACCUGGGCUCAAUUCUUUCUUUUAAACUAUACCGAAAUCUUCUACGGCUAUAUGAUUGUCAACAUACAUGCUGCAUGGAUAAUACCCUGAACUCUCAAGUGCAUUCAUAAAGUAACCAAACUUUGGAUCAUUGAUCGAAUGAUUCUUUCAUUCCUUCUUAGUUUUCUUUAAACGUAAGCCAUUACCUUUCCUAUUAUUUCUUCCCCCUUGUUGCAUGCAUACUUAGCUUAUCUUAGCUCUCACGCAUACCGGAAUUUUCGUACAACUCAUAUGAUCUUCGAAUAUUGCUUUUGAUUUUACUUCCCAUUCAUUAGCCACGGUAGGUUCCUCUUUCUUAUGGAGAACGUACAAUGUCGUUGUGAAACUGUUGUUACAAGACCAUUUCCUCUUUAGGUUGCUGAGUUCAGGUUGCAGCCUUUUUCCUUAUUGUCCUUAACUUGUCUUUCAUUAUAGUACUUAGGGAGGACUCUCUGACUCUUGUAAAUCUGUGAGCUUAUUAUAUUGUACACUCGACGGACCAUCUAAUGUCUUUCGUUGCCUAUACUUAUCUGUAGUUACUUAUCUCCAUGCCCUUGUGCUUGUGGGGUUGAUUCUGGACUGAUAUUUUGACCGUCUUCCUAGUGGAACUCUUUUUUAUUUCCGUAACACUCAUACAGUACCUUUUUCACUUCGCCGCGGUAGGUUCCUCUUUCUUAUGGAGAACGUACAAUGUUGUUGUGAAACUGUUGUUACAAGACCAUUUCCUCUUUAAGUCGCUGAGUUCAGGUUGCAGCCUUCUUCCUUAUUGUCCUUAACUUGUCUUUCAUUGUAGUACUUAGGGAGGACUCUCUGACUCUUGUAAAGCUAUGAGCUUAUUACAUUGUACACUUGACGGACCAUCUAAUGUCCUUCCUUGCCUAUACUUGUCUGUAGUUACUUAUCUCCAUGCCCUUGUGCUUGUGGGGUUGAUUCUGGACUGAUAUUUUGACCAUCUUCCUAGUGGAACUCUUUUUUAUUUCCUUAACACUCAUACAGUACCUUUUCACUUCUCCAACUCUUAUAUGAAUAUAUCUCAACUAUUACAAUGUCAUAACUGCGGGGCUGAAUUCACUAUAUUGGGUUUUACUAUUUUUAUCUUGCACAACCUAUUGUUAUGUCUGUUUCCUCUUGACUGGCCAUAAUUAGGCUCUUCCUGAAUCAACUACUAACUACUCGUUGGCCCAUUCUCAUGUCAAUAUUCCACAAAAUCUUUCUUGGGUUAUUUUCUUUGUCUUAACUUACGUCUCACACUAACUCCUUAUCUAUCAAUAACAUCUCGGGCAGGGACCUGUACUUCCUCUCAUUGACGUCAUAAUUGCAUAAUGUUCUGGAAUUGUAGCAUAUACGUAGGAGCUGAAUAAGUGUAAUCUCAUUCCUUUUUUGUGUUUACCGCAUUCUUCAUUUACCAUUCCAUGAUUACUAGAACCAUUUAAUUCUGACUUUAUGUCACAUCACUUCAUAUUCCUCCCUUUAGGGGAGUACUAAGAUUUAGCAUUAUGAUGAUCUACUUGUAGAUGUUUUACCUCUUUAGCCUUGGCGUUUUCUCACAUCAUCGAUGACCCUUACUCGCCUUGUGGUAAUCCUUUUGUACCAAGAAAAUGAAAUUUCUCACUCGCGAAAGUGGCACUUAGUGUAACUGGCACACAUAGUCCCUUAAGCUUAAACUUUGCUCACAUUGCUUGCUUUAGGGAAGCGUCUUCCUGAAUGACCAUUUUUUGAAUUUCUUCUGAAUCUUUGUCUGUUGUCCAUUCUACUAUCGCUAGAACAAAAUCUAAAAUUCUCAUGAUGCCGACUAUUAUCAAAUCAUUCAGUCCUUAAUUUAUGUUUAGUUUAUCUUGUUCACCAGCCCAUACUGAUUCCUAUUACUCCGGGGUCUAACUUUUCCUCUUGGUAAUCGCUCUAGAGUUGCGAUCUUAUUUCUCAAAAUAAGGACAUGACUGUAUGGCAUAUACUCUUUUGUUGUCUUAAGGCUUAUCACCUCUUGUCUCUUCCUUUACUUGAAUAUAGAUUUUGUAAUAUUAUCAUCUUUUGAUCUACCGUUGUCAUCCAUGUACCACAUCUUACUCAGAAUGCUUCAUUAACUCUUUUCUUAUUUCCUGCUAACAUUUAUGCCUAUCACUUUAUUCUGAAAACUCGAACAAGAAAUUCUUUUGCUUUUAGCUUCCCUUUGUUCCAUCUAGUGGCUCAUCAAGUUGCUUAACGUUCUCUAUUUACUAGGGACANNNNNNNNNNNNNNNNNNNNNNNNNNNNNNNNNNNNNNNNNNNNNNNNNNNNNNNNNNNNNNNNNNNNNNNNNNNNNNNNNNNNNNNNNNNNNNNNNNNNNNNNNNNNNNNNNNNNNNNNNNNNNNNNNNNNNNNNNNNNNNNNNNNNNNNNNNNNNNNNNNNNNNNNNNNNNNNNNNNNNNNNNNNNNNNNNNNNNNNNNNNNNNNNNNNNNNNNNNNNNNNNNNNNNNNNNNNNNNNNNNNNNNNNNNNNNNNNNNNNNNNNNNNNNNNNNNNNNNNNNNNNNNNNNNNNNNNNNNNNNNNNNNNNNNNNNNNNNNNNNNNNNCUCUGAUACCACUUUUGUCACGACCCAAACCGAUGGGCUGCGACGGGCGCCCGGUAUCCUACUCAACCGAGUACCAAUGUAACGUAUCUUUCUUAUUAUAUUAUCAUAUACAUGUGACAUACGGGCCUAAUAGGCCCAAACUAUCCUUUAUAAACUCAAAUCAUAGGUUGACAAGGCCGUACAAUCUUUCAUGUACACGACAAAUGUCUACAAGCCUCUAAGAGUAUAUAAAUGUCAUAAAUGUUGGGACAGAGUCCCGCUAUACCAAAUAAUACACGUCUAAAUCAUACUAACCAAACACGCAACUUCAAAGCAAAUGGAGCGCACCAACAUCUUCUGCUGAGUUGAUAGCCUACUUGGAGGGCUCUCGACCCGUCUAUCUGGACCUGCGGGCAUGAAACGCAGUGUCCCAAGGAAAAAAGGGACAUCAGUACAAAUAAUGUACUGAGUAUGUAAGGCACAUAAAUAAGUACAUAACAGACAUGGAGGAAAUAUAGAAUAAAUGACUCCACCUGUAAGUCCGAAUAACUUUGUAAAUCAUGAAACAAUUAUAGUAUCAUGCAUAUGCGUAUGAAUGUCAUGGCGUGCAUAGGUACAUGUUUCAUAACAUCACCAGCCUCUGAGGACAUCCCAUCAUAUCAUCUUGUCCACUGUGGGCAAAAUCAUCAACAUAUACUAGAUGAUCAGGUGGUGGUGCGUAUAUAACGUCAUAACCUUUCCCAUAUCCUAUAUACAUAUAUAUACAUACAUAUAUACGCGUAUAUAACACCAUCCGGUCAUGGAUCAAUGUACAUGAAUGCAAUGCAUGAAAAUUACGUUAAUAAAAUCUUUCGGAAUGUCAUAAGACCAUUUUGCUGUUGAGUAAUAUCAUGAAAUAAACCUUAUCAACUUACGUAUUUUUUGAGACCCAUGAACAGAUGAAAGAAUAAUAGGACACAUGGAGAAUCAAGAACAUUGGCACUUCUAAUACUUCUAUGAAUAGAGUCAUUUAUGGAAGUUGGUCAUUUUCGCGUUUCGUUCAUAUCGUAUAGAUCAUGCCAAAAGAAAGAAGGGAUAGCCGUAACAUACCUGAGUCGAUUCUCUUGACAAUCCCUCUAAUAUACAUUGAUUACGACAAAACGCGUAACGGCGGAUCAAAGUAGGGGAAAAUUCGUAUGGUAUUCUUGAGAAAGAUUGCACCGUGCUCUCUUAGAAUCAGAUUUUACGCUAUUGUAGCAAUCCAUCCAUUAGCAAUCCUAGAUCUCUUGUAAGAGUUCAUAAGUAUUAUUUUGAAAAUGACAUGCUUUAGUUGUUGCCCAUAAUUUCCUCUUAAAUGACUAGCUCUCGUUUGAUGUGUGCAUGGAAUGAUGCAGCAAAUGGAGGUUCAAAUAAUCUUGUAAGUUUGUAAUUUGUGUAUAUCCAAAUACAAAAAUAGAGUGAAAGUAGGAACAAAUAUAACCCAUUCACUUGGUAUAUGGAAACACUUUUUCGUAUGAACAAUACCAAUAUGUAACAAUCUCUCAUAGUUUAAAGAUUUGUGGCCCCACUUUUGGGAUGACUUAGUCACAAAUAUAUCUUAAAAUAUGACACCUUGCAAUUCUUUUUAAAAGUCAUUGAUUUGAAUUGUGGGCUGCCACGGUACAAUCUUAUCCAAAUAUAUCCCCAAUUAAUUAGGUAAUGUCCUAUAACCCCGUAAAAUUGAGAAUUAUUCUCACUUACUUAAAAUAUUACUCACUUUUCACAUACCUUAUAUACCUUAUUAUUAUGGUCAUGUGGUACCUUGUAUGAUAUUAGUCCAUAAAUACCGAGUAUUUUAGCUUGAGCCGUAUUUUAUCCCAACAUGCCAAACUUGGACGAAAAUUCGUUUUCUUUGACUUNNN